Chlorocebus sabaeus (green monkey) is the source of this 1115-nucleotide non-coding RNA. The record is from RefSeq and is a predicted model, not a curated record. NCBI's taxonomy places the organism in Eukaryota, Metazoa, Chordata, Mammalia, Primates, Cercopithecidae.
CCUUUGAUAUCCCGGCUACAGCAGGAGGCCCAGGGAGGGUGGGAGGGGCCGCCUAGCCCAGCCUGCAGGCCCACAGCUCUUGCACUGUCAGGCCUGGAGAACAGGGCUCCUCCCUGCCUCUCAGCAGAUCGCCUCAUGCCUAUCAGCCUGCAGCACAUUCCUCGCAUUCUAGGAUUGAGAUACACAGUUUGGUUCUUGUGGGGGCAGCCAGGGCGGGGGAGGAGGGCAGAGAACGUCCCAGAGAUCAAGACUGCUGUUGGCUUUCUCCCUCCCUGACUGACUUGGCCCACACUGACUGGCCUGCCACCCCUUUACAGUGAUCUCCACCCAGUCUCUCUCUGCAAAGGCCUCCCUUGGCUCUCUGAUAAAGUUGGAGCUGUGGGUGCAGCAUUUCACUUCGACCUAGCAGCAUCAAUGAGCCAGCUCCUCACUGGUGUGCAGGAAAAGAAUCCAGGAGAUCACCUGAUGAAGCCCAGCGUUUUACAGAUAGGCAGUGGAGCAGGGGAAUCCAGUUGAUACUGUGGCUAAAUUUCAGAAAACCUCCCAUGAGACCUUGCAAAGGAGAUGGAGAAAAUAUGACUGAAUGCCAGCAAGGCUGGAUGGAAGCAUGACUACUCUAACAACCAAGCUCAAAGAGCACUGCUCACCCAAUAUUUCCUUCAUGCCUAGAGCAAAGUGGUGAGAGGACCCUAGUGAAAGGCCCAAAGAACAGGAGGUGUGAGCCGAGAGAAGGUGGAGUCCUGCCGGGCCUGUGUUACAGGCUAUUUGGAGGCUGAACUUGAGGCAAACCUGGGGUCAAGGACAGAAAACCAAAGCAUCGCCCUGGAAGGUUAGCACUGAAAGUGCCCUUGAAUAGUAAUGUGUCUAUUCCUCUACUCCUUACCUCCUUCAAACCUAUUUAGGACCAUAUUGGCUAUGUCCCUUGUCCUACAUUUUCUUGGAAGUUUUGUGACAAAUCCUAUACUAGAACUCAAAUAUGAGGACUUUCAUGUUCACUGUGCUUCCACAAAAGAUGCUAACAUGAAUUAGUUCCUGUUUUGAAAGGAAUAGUAUCAACAACAAAAAGGACGUCCACUCAGAGACCCCAUCCGAAGGUCACCAACAUCAAAGACCAA